AUUGAACACUGGCGGCAGGCCUAACACAUGCCAGUCGAGCGGAUGAAGGGAGCUUGCUCCUGGAUUCAGCGGCGGACGGGUGAGUAAUGCCUAGGAAUCUGCCUGGUAGUGGGGGAUAACGUCCGGAAACGGGCGCUAAUACCGCAUACGUCCUGAGGGAGAAAGUGGGGGAUCUUCGGACCUCACGCUAUCAGAUGAGCCUAGGUCGGAUUAGCUAGUUGGUGGGGUAAAGGCCUACCAAGGCGACGAUCCGUAACUGGUCUGAGAGGAUGAUCAGUCACACUGGAACUGAGACACGGUCCAGACUCCUACGGGAGGCAGCAGUGGGGAAUAUUGGACAAUGGGCGAAAGCCUGAUCCAGCCAUGCCGCGUGUGUGAAGAAGGUCUUCGGAUUGUAAAGCACUUUAAGUUGGGAGGAAGGGCAGUAAAUUAAUACCUUGCUGUUUUGACGUUACCAACAGAAUAAGCACCGGCUAACUUCGUG
This 484-nucleotide ribosomal RNA is filed under the name uncultured bacterium. Its description in RNAcentral is "partial 16S ribosomal RNA". It matches the Rfam family "Bacterial small subunit ribosomal RNA", at positions 30 to 507 of the family's 1533-position model. The record is from RNAcentral.